CAGUGUGUAUUGUGCAUUUCAUGGCUACUGAACGCCCCGAGCGAGUUGAAGGCUUUCUGUUCAGGAAUUACAUUCUUUCUGCAGAAGGAAAGUCGGCCACUCUCUAUCAGCAGCAGUAUACUGAUGGAUAAUAUCGCUUAUGAAUUACUAUUUUUAGCGGAAUGCAGCACGUUUAACAUGUGAACCCGUGGUACUAGGCAACAUAAUACCGAUAGAUUUCACGACCAGUUGUACAUCAUAUUAAUGUUCCAUUCCUUUGCCGUUCAGAAUAUCGUGGUGGAGUGCCUAGAUCGCUAGCUUGGUGCAAGGAUGUACUCAUGUGCAGCAUUUGUAGCAUGAAAUAUUGCCGAAUUGUGAUACUAUUUUGGUCUCAUAAUAACCGAGGGAAACCGAUGCAGCUAGCAGAAGCUACCAAUACUCAGCUCCUAAGAACCCUUAAGAACAGACAUUUACAUGAUUUAGCGCUGUAAAUCGUUUUCGUUCUUCACACAGUAUAGUAUCAGUAGCAAACGAAUGCUGAGUCCACAUGAACAGACGUUUGUAAACAUCUCUAUUCAUCGCCAUGCAACGGUUAUUUGACAAGGGAUGCAUCAUAUUAUGAUACGACCUCCGGAUAUUUUAAGCCAUAAACUCAUUAUGAUUAUAAUUCUUUUCAUUGCGACAUACCCCCAGCAUUGAAUCUCAAGCAUGGCAUCAUCCAAACGCUCAGGGAGGAGAGUUCCGCCAUCGUAUGAAGAGACGAUGGAGGAAUUAGCUCGGAAGAGGAGUGGUGAAAACCCCAAACACGACCCGAAAUCACCAGGACAAGGCGUGUACAGGAAAAGAACCGACGUCGAUGAUGUCGGUUACGAUGAAGCAGGAACGACCCCGCAAUACCAGUCAGACCAACCCGCUACCAUCUCACACACAACAGUCAAACCGAACUAUCAACAGCAUGACGCAAAUCUCAUGCCCCAAACCUCGACAGCCACCUCCCCAUCGCCCGAACAUUCCCGAGGAUCCCCAAAGAAAGGCCGAUUUAAGAAACUGAUUUCCCGAUCAACGUCGAAACGGGAUCCGAACACUUACACUUACGAGAACCAACAGAGCGUCGAUUACUGGUCGUCGAUAGAACCAGUUACGAUUGAUCCUAAUAUUGAACCUAUCCUCCAACGACCGAUGGUAACUCGGAUUGGACCGGACGGAAGGACAUAUUUAAGAGAUACCAGUAUAGUUGUCGUACAGCCCGAAGAUCACGAAACUCCGAACACACAGAAGGUAGUUGAGAGACCAAUUCGACCCAAUGACUAUAUGUGGUACUCCUUCGUGGGAAUGGCCUUUUGUUUCAUCUUUGGAAUUUUCUCUUUGAUACGAUCUAAAGAGGUAAGUUGGAUGAAAAAAAGUCACGUUGUCUCCUCUUUUAUAACAAGUGGAACGCCUCUGGCAGUCUCGCCUGCAUUACGCAAUUUAAUAUAGCAGCAGUGCUAACUUUGAAAACUACUAUAAAAUAAUCAUUUACAAAAACAUCAUUCAUAUAAUGACAUAAUACCACGUUCAUUGACCAUAAAUGGCAUUUGAACGGAGACUUAAGACUGUCAACUACACCCAUGUCCACAUUUCAUUCACUCUAUCCAUAAACUUUCAAAGUUAUGAUGGCACUUCAACAAUUACCCCAACAUGGCCUAAGUUUAUUGACCUUAACUGACCUUUGACUUGGUUUUGUGACCUGAAACUCACAGGGGAUGUUCAGUGAUGCUUGAUUACUCUUAUAUCCCAAGUUUUAUGAACUAGAUCCAUAAACUUUCAGAGUUAGGAUGAUAAUUCAACAAAUACCCCCAACACGGCCAAAGUUCAUUGACCUUAAAUGACCUUUGACCAUGGUCAUGUGACCUGAAACUCGCACAGGAUAUUCAGUGGUACUUGAUUAACCUAAUGUCCAAGUUUCAUGAACUAGAUCCAUAAAUUUUCAAAGUUAUGAUGUAAUUCAACAAAUACCCCCAACUUGACCAAAGUUCAUUGACCCUAAAUGACCUUUGACCUUGGUCAGGUGACCUGAAACUCAAGCAGGAUGUAUACUAAUACUUGAUUAACCUUAUGUCCAAGUUUCAUGGACUAGAUCCAUAAAUUUUCAAAGUUAUGAUAGUAAUUCAACAAAUACCCCCAACUUGACCAAAGUUCAUUGACCCUAAAUGACCUUUGACCUUGGUCAUGUGACCUGAAACUCGGGCAGGAUGUUCAGUAAUACUUGAUUAACCUUAUGUCCAAGUUUCAUGAACUAGGUCCAUAUACUUUCUAAGUUAUGAUGUCAUUUCAAAAACUUAACCUUAGGUUAAGAUUUGAUGUUGACGCCGCCUCCGCCGCCGUCGGAAAAGCGGCGCCUAUAGUCUCGCUCUGCUAUGCAGGCGAGACAAAAAUUAAGUAUUUUAAAAAUGUUAGAUUUAAACCUAAUUGAUAUCGACUCUUCUAAUGGCUUGAUGUGCAUGCAGGAUAUUUGUUUGGGGAAACGCUGUAUUUUUCUCAAACUAGCCCUCUCUUUUCUUAUUUUUAGGGGUUCAUUUGAAAAUCACAUGCAGGGGAGGGGUGGUUGCUCCCCUGUUACUUUUUUUUUGGCGCCAUCCCUUGCCAGUGCAUGUGAACAUAAUUUACUCUCUAUCAUCAAAUGGUAAAUAUAUGAAAAAAAACCAACGCUUCAGAGCCACUCAAGAAACAUAGGAUGGGUUAGGUUUUUUUUUUAUUGUUUACUACCAUGGCUUAUUAGAACUUUCUCACCAAGCAAGUAUGAGUACAGGUACAUGUCUUUCACUUGAACUGAGUUAACGAACGACGGUGGGCAUACUCAAUCCAUGAUAUACUGACGUAAUCGACUACGCCAUCUAUUGGCCGUAUCUGUCUCGAUUCAACUGAGCGCUUAUCAUGGAUAUGAUUAUCAAUACUUCAUAACUUUCGAGUCUGAUCCUAUUUCGAAAAUCGUUACGAUCCCCUUGUCAAGUGCAUCUUUAAUGAGACAUAUUAAUGAAUAACCUCAUCUCGGUCAUGUUGGCUCUCAAGUUGUAAAAAAAAUCUUUGCAAAUAAUUUUGUAGAAGAAUUCUGAUACUUCGGAUUAAAUUAUGUCUGAAUUGCACCAUUCGUGUUUCACCUUUUACUUUACUUCGAUCCUUAGGUUCCCGUCAAAUUCGAAGCAGGUGAUUACGAAGGAGCGCAAAAGUCUUCAACAUCUGCGCGGAAUUGGGGCACUCUCGCUCUCAUCAGCGGCGCCGUCAUCAUCAUCGUCUUCCUCUUCCUUCUCUUCGUGAGCCCUUGCCCUCUCACAAGAACAUUGCAGUUUCAGGGAAUAUGCCCUGAGGGCGUAUGACGAAAUGAACUCGUUGAAGUUUCGUAUAGUCGAUGCCAUUCGAUGACAGGUUACAAUAAUCAUGCGCCUUAGCAAUAUGGAAUUACGGAUUCUUUGAACUGUUGAAGCGUUGUGACUAAGCUAUCUUCUUCUCCUGCCUGUACGAUGCAUUCCGGAGGUAUGUUGGUGGAAGAGGUAAUGGUCACUCGCGAUAUUAUGCAUUGCAAACUCACGAAAAAUCGCUAUGAGAAUCAUAUUUUUAAGUACCUUCUUGACCUAACAAUCAUAACAAAAACCGAUUGAUCAAAACACAGAGGUAGGAGGAUGUGCUGUUGAAUUAUGUCUGACCAAAAUGUGUUAGAAGAAUUAACCACAAUUGUGGUUGAUUUUUAACAAUUUUUUAAAGUGGAAUACAAUAUUGAUCAACAUAUAUUGCAACUAAUUCUUAUUCAAAGUAUAUGAUGGUAUUAAAUGAGAAAAAUAAGAAUUCAUAUAGUGACUUCACUUCUGACUUUAAUAUCUGUCAUAACUCUUUUUUUCCUUAUACUAAACUUGAUAUAAUUUAUCCAUCGAGUACCCUGUAUUGUUAAAUCGAUUUAGCUAUACUAUGUACCAAACAAUUGUAAUAAAAUUUCAAUUGUAUUGUAUUUAUUAAAAUUUUAAUUGUACGGUAAUGUGAGCACACAUUGAACUAAACGAAAAGAAAUACUGAAAUUUAUUCUUUAUUAUGUAAUGGUGUUAAAAUUCUCGUCUUUAAACUUCGAAAAUCUCCUUCAGACAUGACUUGAUAGGUCAAUAUAUUUUAAGAUGAAGGGUUGACAAUAAAUAAUGUAGAAAACUUCGACCAAGUUAUAUUUCUCAAAACAUUUUAGUCAAAAGGUUACGCCAUUUUUAUGUAGAGAAUGUUUUUUUUUUUUGCUUAUAUUUUCAUAUUCUAACAAAUGCCAUCCUAUGCUCCUGACAACGACAACAAGAUUAAUUCAAAGUAAUCUUUAUGAGAAUAUUAAUGCGUUGCAUGGAUUAAUGUGCCAAAAAUGUUCUUUUAUGCAUAUGGUCAACGAUAUUCUGUGCUUAUUUAAGUUAGAGACAUGUAUUUCGCCAUUUUGCAGAUCGAUGAUUUUGAAAAAAAUGCCCUUUCUUUGGUAAUCGUGAUGUUAAUGUAAACUUGAAUUUUAGUUAAUUCUCAAUUAUACAUAUAUUGAGGCUUAUGCAGGCAUUUUAUAAUUUCAUUUGUUUAUCUAGAGAAUAAAAACUUUUCACACUUUUA
This is an RNA transcript of Lytechinus pictus (painted urchin), 4578 nucleotides long. RefSeq lists it as uncharacterized. Lineage: Eukaryota; Metazoa; Echinodermata; Echinoidea; Temnopleuroida; Toxopneustidae. The transcript has 4 exons. The record is from RefSeq and is a predicted model, not a curated record.